GAGUUUGAUCCUGGCUCAGAUUGAACGCUGGCGGCAUGCCUUACACAUGCAAGUCGAACGGCAGCACGGGAGCUUGCUCCUGGUGGGCGAGUGGCGAACGGGUGAGUAAUGCAUCGGAACGUAUCCUGGAGUGGGGGAUAACGUAGCGAAAGUUACGCUAAUACCGCAUAUUCUGUGAGCAGGAAAGCGGGGGACCUUCGGGCCUCGCGCUCUUGGAGCGGCCGAUGUCGGAUUAGCUAGUUGGUGAGGUAAAGGCUCACCAAGGCGACGAUCCGUAGCAGGUCUGAGAGGAUGAUCUGCCACACUGGAACUGAGACACGGUCCAGACUCCUACGGGAGGCAGCAGUGGGAAUUUUGGACAAUGGGGGCAACCCUGAUCCAGCCAUGCCGCGUGAGUGAAGAAGGCCUCGGUGUAAG
RNAcentral lists this ribosomal RNA (417 nucleotides) under bacterium enrichment culture clone ALO1_GLFRUDD03GU6KS. RNAcentral describes it as "bacterial SSU rRNA". It matches the Rfam family "Bacterial small subunit ribosomal RNA", at positions 9 to 429 of the family's 1533-position model. The record is from RNAcentral.